RNAcentral lists this long non-coding RNA (3775 nucleotides) under Sus scrofa (pig). Its description in RNAcentral is "lncRNA (ENSSSCG00015057101.1)". Lineage: Eukaryota; Metazoa; Chordata; Mammalia; Artiodactyla; Suidae. The record is from RNAcentral.
ACAUAUGGAAGCUCCCAGGCUAGGGGUCGAUUCAGAGGUGCAGCUGCCAGCCUACACCAUAGCCACAGCAAUGCCAGAUCCAAGCCAUGUCUGCUGCAAACUACACCACAGCUCACGGCAAUGCCAGAUCCUUAACCCAACUGAGUGAGACCAGGGAUUGAAUCCGCAUCCUCAUGGCUUCAUUUCUGCUGAGCUGCAAUGGGAACUCCCUUUUUUUACAGUAAAAAGGAUGUGGCUUAGAAAAAUAUCCUUGUCAUUCCAAUUUUUUAAAGUAACACUCCCCAGGACCUUAUCAUAUUCCUGGUUCUUUAUAAAGAAGCCCCCUGUGUAUGUGUAAAUACUCAUGUAAUCCCCUUGACAGCCCUUGAGGUGGAUACGCUAAUUCCCAUUUUACUGAUGAAGAAACAAGGGCACAGAGGUUGCCCCUUGCCACUACCCACCUUCCCAGUGGUCGAAGGAGAGUGAUCUGUACUACCUCUCUGUGUAAAACUGAUUCAGAUGGGCAGUCAAGAUUGAAACCUAAAUUCAGCACUGCCAUGACCUAUGGUGUAGGUCACAGGUGCAGCUUGGAUCCCACAUUGCUAUGGCUGUGGUGUAGGCCGGCAGCUGCAGCUCCAAUUCAGCUCCUAGCUUGGAACCUCCAUAUGCUGUGGGUAUGGUCCUAAAAGGCAAAAAGUAAAAAACAAAAGCAUGAUGUACAUUGAGGUUUGUGUUAAAAGAUCCCUUAACGAUACAUACCAAAUAUUAUAGUCUAAAUGUUGACGUUAUAAACAAGACCAAUCAUAAUUCAAAAACCCCUUUUUAGUGACUGUUAAAAUUUGUCUGGGAGUUCCUGCUGUGGCUCAGCAUGUUAUGAACCCAACUAGUAUCCAUGAGGAUGUGGGUUUGAUCCGUGGCCUCACUCAGUGGGUUAAGAAUCCGGCAUUGCCAGGAGCUACAGUGUAAGUCCAAUGUGGCUCGGAUCUGGUGCCGCUGUGGUGUAGGCCAGCAGCUACAGCUCCAAUUCGACCCCUGGCCUGGGAACUUCCAUAUGCCACAGGUGUGGCCCUAAAAUAUGUGUGAUCUGAUUUAUAAAAGGGAUAAGAUUUGAGCCAAAAGGGAUAAGUUGAGCCAUGUCUUUUAAUUUGUAACUUUAACAAACUGAAUACCAAUUUUUCAAACCAAUGUAAAUUUUCUAGAUAGUCUUUUCUAUGCAUAAAUAUCAGCCUGAGGACCCUUCCCAACAAAGUCCUUACAUCAACCACUCUGUACAUGUGUUUACUGCCCAACUCCUAAAGGAGGCACAGCUGAGACAUUCAAGACCGGCCACUCGAGAAACAGAGGGUAAACACUCGGGCAUGUACUCGCCAGCCGUGCCAACUUGGGGAAUGAAUAACAAAUCGCCUAGAAUGUGUCAGAGACUUUUCUGGGUACAUUGAUAAGCUAACAGGGAAAAACACCCCUGUCCUUCUGGAGUGGACCAGCAAGGAAAAGACACAAGAGAAAUAAAUGGGAAUGGCCGUAUUUAAACCAGGUGCAAAACACCAAGGGAUAAGAGACGCUGUAAUUCUACCCCCUCUAUCACACACCUCUUGCCUAGAAAAAGCUGCUUAUGAACCAGCACAACCCGCACAUUCCGCUGACGUAGUCCCUCUACUUACCUAUCAUAUGCAUAGCAAGCCCAACUAUUUCUAAAUGUCCAUGUGCUAUUCUAGUUCUCCCUGGAUCUAGUGCCACAGUGUAAGUCUCCUGAUGAAGCAGUAUCCGCUGAGCACGUGUGGUUUUUCAGGCCAUCUCCCAUCCACUCCCCACCAAACAGCUCCCUAAUUUCCCUGAAGGAAAUGACUGCAGCCCCACCACGUGCAGUUGGCGGGGGGCGGGGGGGGGGGGGCACACAUCAAGAGCUCUGUCUUUUUUCAUCCAAGACACAGACAUGCAAUUCAAGUAUCACCAAGUGAAUUGACUCUUCUGAGACUGUGACUUGAGCUGGAAGACAGCAAGACAGGAAAAGGCCAAAGGGUGACUAUUCAGGUACCAGCACCCAGAGGGAGUCUGAGGAGUUUCUGCUGGCCCCAAACUGGAACCGCCCUCUGAGGCAGGACUGCACCCAUUCUGUGAGUUACUCUAUCAGCAAAUUAUUUUUGUGUGUGAUGUAGCCAAUGGUUCCCAGCUGACAUUUGAAAAACUUUAACAAAAUAUGUUCACAUGUAUUGGAUCACAUAAACUAUGUAUUUUCCCUUCAGCUGCAAGGUAAGGUUUCAAAUCCAGUAAUCAACAUUAGCCUAAAUAGUCUGCAAAAACUUCUCCCCACUCAGCAUACCCCCCUCAACUAUUAUGCAUUUGCCUUUUUAGCAAUGGGGGUGGGGGUGGGGGGCGCACACACAUCCAAGAAAUGCAGAAGUUCCUGGACCAGGGAUUGAAAUCACCCCACAGCAGUAACCAGAGCCACAGCAGUGACAAUGCAAGAUCCUUAACCUGGUGAGCCACAGGGAACUCCAACAAUCAGGUGAGAUAGAUAUAUCUCUCUCUCUCAAGUGAAACAUAUACGAGUAUGUAUAUAUGUGCUAUAUGUGUAUGUACACAUGUAUAUACAUACACAUGCAUACAUGUGUGUGCAUGUAUGAUGUGUAUCAAGUAUAUUAUAUAUAUAUAUCUCAAGUGAGUGAUGGAUAAACAAUUUCUGGAAGCAGGCAAAAUAUAAUUUAGGAGUAGAAGAAAGAAAAAGCAAAUUAUUCCAUUUGCAUUUUCUAAGGAAUAGGCCUAUCCAAUUUUCAUUCGACACAAGUGUGUUUAUUAUUUUAACUAUCUUCAGCAGUUUUGCAUGUAUCCACCCACUCUUGGCUUUUUACCCAAUUCUCCCAAGCCUGUGCCAUCUUACAAACUGGCUGCAUGGCCUCCGUUUCCCCAUAUGUAUAACAGGGAAACGGUGACUCGUGGGUAGAGACAAUUAGGACUGGAAAGUCUGUCUGGAUUCAGGUACACAGGUCGCUCUGCAAUGAGGCUCUUGAGAAGAUCCAAAUCUUUCCCAAUCGACUGGCAGGAAUUUAAUUCUACAGCCAUCUCUAUUCUUCCUGAGAGACAUACGCUGUGUUUCAUACCAAAACCUCCUGCCAUGAAAGAGUAUCUCCUUCUCUCCCUUUUUUGGAUCUGCCUAAAUGCUGGUCUGCUGUAAACAAGUGACAGGUGUGCUGGGAUGCGGGUUCCCAAGGUGGAGCUCUUGUUUUCUAUUUGUGCAUUAACCUGAAAGAGAGUGGGAAGCAGUGAUCUAGAUCAGUGAGUCUCAAGCUUUAACGGGUAUUUAAAUCACCUAGGAAUCUUUUUUUGUUUGUUUGUUUGUUUGUUUGCUUUUUUAGGGCUGCAUUCACAGCAUGGCUGCCAGCCUCCGCCACAGCAAUGCUGGAUCCAAGUUGCAUCUGCAACCUAUACCACAGCUCACAGCAACACCGGAUCCCCGACCAAAUGAGCAAGGCCAGGGAGCAAACCCACAUCCUCAUGGGUACUAUUCGGAUUCAUUUCUGCCGUGCCACAACAGACACUCCCUUACCUGAGAAUCUUGUGAAAACAAAAAUUCUGACUGAAUGGAUGUAGGGUGGAACUGAGACUCUGCAUUUCUAACCAGCUCUCACAGGAUGCCCAUCUGCAGCCAACACCUAACACUCAACCAGGUGUCUAGAGUACGUGUUUCACUAGACUUUCCUGUGAAACAGAGAAAGACACGGUUAACCAGUUUUAAAAUUUCUACUGCUUCCCGGUCUCUUGGUUAGAGUAACUUCAGAAGUGUCUUUGGUUUCUUCUA